GCCUACGGGGGGCAGCAGUGGGGGAUAUUGCACAAUGGGGGGAACCCUGAUGCAGCGACGCCGCGUGAAGGAAGAAGUAUCUCGGUAUGUAAACUUCUAUCAGCAGGGAAGAAAAUGACGGUACCUGACUAAGAAGCCCCGGCUAACUACGUGCCAGCAGCCGCGGUAAUACGUAGGGGGCAAGCGUUAUCCGGAUUUACUGGGUGUAAAGGGAGCGUAGACGGCGCGGCAAGUCUGGAGUGAAAGGCAGGGGCUUAACCCCUGAACUGCUUUGGAAACUGCCUUGCUAGAGUGCUGGAGAGGUA
This 305-nucleotide ribosomal RNA is filed under the name uncultured bacterium. RNAcentral's name for it is "bacterial SSU rRNA". It matches the Rfam family "Bacterial small subunit ribosomal RNA", at positions 337 to 659 of the family's 1533-position model. The record is from RNAcentral.